CUUGUUCUGCUGUAUUUUACGUAAAAAUUUCCAUUAGUGAUAAGUGCUAUCAAUAUCAUUGAAACCCUGUGCAACUACUCAAUACACAUGUUAAUUUAGUAUAGUUCACCAGCAGAACAGCUAACUUGAACGUAACUUUCCUCGCAGUUCAAAUAUGACGAAAACGGAAACACCAGAUUCCCGAGUAUGAACCACCAAAACUGGUAACGUGCAUUUAAUAUGGAUAGUAAUGUGGGAUGUCGAUCUGCGCAUCUUUGUCCAUGGUGCGUACGGUAAAGGAUUGAACUAUCUUGAUGCUGGCAAGUUUUCGCGAAUCUACGAAGCAUCCAUGACCUGUUCUUCUUCCAUAUCAAGCAGCAAACUUGUAGGAUUGACGUUGUCUUCCAAUAUCUGGCUCAAGAACGAAUCAAACUACUGAAUGCUUCUUAGGAUUGUACUUGUAAUUUGUUUAAUGGGGGCUUUAACCAGAUGGUCAUUCGCCCAAUUGCUUAGGAUUGUCAUCAGCUGGAUUACCAAGAUGCAAUGUGCUGCAUGCGUAUUGAUCGACACCUGUUCUUUUUGUACGUGGUUUCCAAGUGUCUGGAACUGAAUUCGCCCUUCCUGAAAGAGGUACUCAGUGAAUCAUGGCGGCUUUCCACCAGUCGGAACACCAUAACACCAUACGGCCAAGAUGGAUCUGAAAAAGCAUCCCAAUUGUAUUAGUACAAGUGGCGGUUUCGGUUCAGUGGUCGACGAUAAGUAUGGUGUGACAUACAUUGUAGCCGGUGAAUACCUGAUAUUCUUUCGAAUUUCUACGAAAAAAUCUUGCUGCUCACAGCUCGAACGUCUCAGUAUAAAAAAGUUGUUUUUGUAGAACUCGGACCAUUUCUUGCAGCAAAGCUUUCUCAAUUCUCGAAUAAGCGGAUUGAGUGCGAUGUGAGGCACUAGAACCUAAUCCACACAAAUAACAUCCACCGUUAAUAGCAUAGAUAACACCAUGACGGGCUAUAGCAACUAUUGUGUAUCUAGCUAAUUUAAGCAAUGACAUCUUUGACGAGGCCGUUCACGGUUGUUCUCAUUUAAUCAGUUUUUUCACCAAGAUAUAACCAACGGUUUAGUCGUUCGCUAUAUAUAUGCUGAAAGGUGUUAGUAGCAAGAUAAACAUGAAUGAUAAUCUAUUAUUCAACCGUUAUUUAUAAAAAUGUAGCAUAAAUAGCUCUUUGAAAUUAGCAAAUUGAGGAUUUUUUUAGUUGUCCUUCCUAAAUAAUAACUAAUUAAAAACGAAAAAUCAUCUAAGGUUUUCGCUUUUGAUGCUAAUUUUCGUUCUCCAUGUGCACUAAAUAUAAGCGAUAUCAUGGUACUUUAUCGAUUAAGGAUUUGAACUGUUUUAUGAUUUUAGAUAGUUUCGUGCGGAGGAUAAACAAUACAUACUCAAACCAACUAUGUAUAUGGCAGACGAGCCCUUAUUCUUCUCAUUAGUCAGAAUGUUACACAAUUUCAUUGAUAACUAGGCGAACAAUAAACCGAGUGUAUGUUUAAUAGGUAUA
Molecule: long non-coding RNA, 1526 nt
Organism: Topomyia yanbarensis
Lineage: Eukaryota; Metazoa; Arthropoda; Insecta; Diptera; Culicidae
Exons: 3
Source: RefSeq, a predicted model, not a curated record